This is a long non-coding RNA of Cannabis sativa, 505 nucleotides long. RefSeq lists it as uncharacterized. The transcript has 2 exons. The record is from RefSeq and is a predicted model, not a curated record. NCBI's taxonomy places the organism in Eukaryota, Viridiplantae, Streptophyta, Magnoliopsida, Rosales, Cannabaceae.
UAAAAUAACUAAUUCAAUUUUCUUGGUGGGAGGGUAAUUUAGUCUUUUCAAGUGAAUUAUUCAAAAUGAAUCAUCUUCAAUUUUUUCUAUAAAUCAAUUCAUUUCCUCUCUAUUAGCUUAGGCUGCCAAUCUCUUCACAGCAGUCUUUUUUUUCUUCUUAAAAUAAAAUUUUAUAAUUUUAAGCUUUCUUCUAUGGAGUUCAUCUGUAAUAGAGUCCUCUUUAUUAGACUUUUAUUUAUUUAUUAUUAAAGCUCAGAAUCACCAACAAUCAAAGCUUCAUCACUGAAAUCAUCCUCAACCAGGUACGAAUGCCCAGACUCUAAUGACGAGUCUGUGAGCACGCGCGGUUAUUGACAAAUGACAAGUAUCUGCUUGAUUGGGCCCACCACCACUUGGUCCACGUGUAAGUAAGUUGGUCAUAUUGGUAGAGGAGCCACACCACCAUCUGCAAAUCUAUUGGCCGUUUGUUUUUAUUUAAACAAAAUUCACCAAAAUUUUAAGUGCA